CGGCGAUUAAUCAGAGUAUCUAGUGGGCUAUUUUUGGUAAGCAGAACUGGCGCUGUGGGAUGAACCAAACGUCGAGUUAAGGGGCCUAAAAAAAUGCUAAUUCAGAGCCCACCGAAAGGUGUUGGUUGCUAUAGACAGCAGGACGGUGGCCAUGGAAGUUGGAAUCCGCUAAGGAGUGUGUAACAACUCACCUGCCGAAGCAACUAGCCCUUAAAAUGGUAUGGCGCUGAAGCAUUGUCCCGAUACUCGACCGCCGGGGCACUAGAGGCCACGUCCCAGAGGCGAGGUCUCGAAGCCCCGGUGAGUAAGAGGGUCGCAGUGGUGAGCGCAGAAGGGAUCCGGCGUGAGCCGGCCUGGAGCCACCACUGGUGCAGAUCUUGGUGGUAGUAGCAAAUACUCGAGAGAGACUCCCUUGAAGACCGAAGUGGAGAAGGGUUCCAUGUGAACAUCAGUUGGACAUGGGUUAGUCGCUCCUAAGCCCAAGGCAAAGGCCUGAUCCCACGCUAGCGGC
Molecule: ribosomal RNA, 511 nt
Filed under: Euastacus eungella
Lineage: Eukaryota; Metazoa; Arthropoda; Malacostraca; Decapoda; Parastacidae
Description: eukaryotic LSU rRNA
Rfam family: Eukaryotic large subunit ribosomal RNA
Source: RNAcentral